This 1511-nucleotide ribosomal RNA is filed under the name Klebsiella pneumoniae IS46. Its description in RNAcentral is "SSU rRNA". It matches the Rfam family "Bacterial small subunit ribosomal RNA". Lineage: Bacteria; Pseudomonadati; Pseudomonadota; Gammaproteobacteria; Enterobacterales; Enterobacteriaceae. The record is from RNAcentral.
UUAAAUUGAAGAGUUUGAUCAUGGCUCAGAUUGAACGCUGGCGGCAGGCCUAACACAUGCAAGUCGAGCGGUAGCACAGAGAGCUUGCUCUCGGGUGACGAGCGGCGGACGGGUGAGUAAUGUCUGGGAAACUGCCUGAUGGAGGGGGAUAACUACUGGAAACGGUAGCUAAUACCGCAUAACGUCGCAAGACCAAAGUGGGGGACCUUCGGGCCUCAUGCCAUCAGAUGUGCCCAGAUGGGAUUAGCUAGUAGGUGGGGUAACGGCUCACCUAGGCGACGAUCCCUAGCUGGUCUGAGAGGAUGACCAGCCACACUGGAACUGAGACACGGUCCAGACUCCUACGGGAGGCAGCAGUGGGGAAUAUUGCACAAUGGGCGCAAGCCUGAUGCAGCCAUGCCGCGUGUGUGAAGAAGGCCUUCGGGUUGUAAAGCACUUUCAGCGGGGAGGAAGGCGUUAAGGUUAAUAACCUUGGCGAUUGACGUUACCCGCAGAAGAAGCACCGGCUAACUCCGUGCCAGCAGCCGCGGUAAUACGGAGGGUGCAAGCGUUAAUCGGAAUUACUGGGCGUAAAGCGCACGCAGGCGGUCUGUCAAGUCGGAUGUGAAAUCCCCGGGCUCAACCUGGGAACUGCAUUCGAAACUGGCAGGCUAGAGUCUUGUAGAGGGGGGUAGAAUUCCAGGUGUAGCGGUGAAAUGCGUAGAGAUCUGGAGGAAUACCGGUGGCGAAGGCGGCCCCCUGGACAAAGACUGACGCUCAGGUGCGAAAGCGUGGGGAGCAAACAGGAUUAGAUACCCUGGUAGUCCACGCCGUAAACGAUGUCGAUUUGGAGGUUGUGCCCUUGAGGCGUGGCUUCCGGAGCUAACGCGUUAAAUCGACCGCCUGGGGAGUACGGCCGCAAGGUUAAAACUCAAAUGAAUUGACGGGGGCCCGCACAAGCGGUGGAGCAUGUGGUUUAAUUCGAUGCAACGCGAAGAACCUUACCUGGUCUUGACAUCCACAGAACUUUCCAGAGAUGGAUUGGUGCCUUCGGGAACUGUGAGACAGGUGCUGCAUGGCUGUCGUCAGCUCGUGUUGUGAAAUGUUGGGUUAAGUCCCGCAACGAGCGCAACCCUUAUCCUUUGUUGCCAGCGGUUCGGCCGGGAACUCAAAGGAGACUGCCAGUGAUAAACUGGAGGAAGGUGGGGAUGACGUCAAGUCAUCAUGGCCCUUACGACCAGGGCUACACACGUGCUACAAUGGCAUAUACAAAGAGAAGCGACCUCGCGAGAGCAAGCGGACCUCAUAAAGUAUGUCGUAGUCCGGAUUGGAGUCUGCAACUCGACUCCAUGAAGUCGGAAUCGCUAGUAAUCGUAGAUCAGAAUGCUACGGUGAAUACGUUCCCGGGCCUUGUACACACCGCCCGUCACACCAUGGGAGUGGGUUGCAAAAGAAGUAGGUAGCUUAACCUUCGGGAGGGCGCUUACCACUUUGUGAUUCAUGACUGGGGUGAAGUCGUAACAAGGUAACCG